Molecule: ribosomal RNA, 566 nt
Filed under: Triticum aestivum (bread wheat)
Lineage: Eukaryota; Viridiplantae; Streptophyta; Magnoliopsida; Poales; Poaceae
Description: partial small subunit ribosomal RNA
Source: RNAcentral
UCUCGCUUGUCCUCUCCCUCUCUGUUUCCUCCCUCCCGAGAUGUCAUCGAUGCGCAGUCGCUAUCCUCGCGACCACUGGACUCCCCGGCGAGCGGGAUGUCGUCCAGGAGGAGCGCCGCCCUCUCCUUCGUCCGCCCCGGGGGCCAGCCCAAGCUAGGACGCCGCGUAGCCUCGCCAUCGCCUCUUCUUCCUGCCACGGUCGCCACACGUCCCCGCCAUCGAUCUCCACCAUCGGGCCUCCCCGGCCAUCUCGAGCUCGCCUACGACCUCCCAACUACGAGACCGACGCUGCUGCUGCCCAGUUCGACUACGGAGUUGACGACCCCUCGUACUUGCCAGAGCAACCAGAUGCUAGAGCCCAGGAGCCGGACGCCACCGUCGACGACGACUCCUACGACACUGGAGGUGCCUACUACUACGUGCAGGCCGCUGACGACGACCAGGAGUAGUUAGGAGGAUCCCAGGCAGGAGGCCUGCGCCUCGUUCGAUCUGUAUCCCAGUUUGUGCUAGCCUUCUUAAGGCAAACUUGUUUAACUUAUGUCUGUACUCAGAUAUUGUUGCUUCCG